RNAcentral lists this small nuclear RNA (107 nucleotides) under Physeter macrocephalus (sperm whale). Lineage: Eukaryota; Metazoa; Chordata; Mammalia; Artiodactyla; Physeteridae. The record is from RNAcentral.
GUGGUCACUUCAGCAGCACAUAUACUAAAAUUGGAACAAUAAAGAGAAGAUUAGCAUGGUCCCUGCAUAAGGAUGACACGCAAAUUCAUGAAGUGUUCAAUAUUUUU